RNAcentral lists this ribosomal RNA (253 nucleotides) under uncultured bacterium. Its description in RNAcentral is "partial 16S ribosomal RNA". It matches the Rfam family "Bacterial small subunit ribosomal RNA", at positions 524 to 776 of the family's 1533-position model. The record is from RNAcentral.
GACGUAGGGCGCGAGCGUUGUCCGGAUUUAUUGGGCGUAAAGAGCUCGUAGGCGGCUUGUCGCGUCGGCUGUGAAAGCCCCCGGCUCAACUGGGGAGGGUCAUUCGAUACUGAUCGACUCGAAGGCAGGAGAGGGUAGUGGAAUUCCCGGUGUAGUGGUGAAAUGCGUAGAUAUCGGGAGGAACACCAGUGGCGAAGGCGGCUUCCUGGCCUGUUCUUGACGCUGAGGCGCGAAAGCUAGGGGAGCAAACAGG